UUUAAGCUUCCUACGGGAGGCUGCAGUGGGGAAUCUUGCGCAAUGGGCGAAAGCCUGACGCAGCCAUGCCGCGUGAAUGAUGAAGGUCUUAGGAUUGUAAAAUUCUUUCACCGGGGACGAUAAUGACGGUACCCGGAGAAGAAGCCCCGGCUAACUUCGUGCCAGCAGCCGCGGUAAUACGAAGGGGGCUAGCGUUGCUCGGAAUUACUGGGCGUAAAGGGAGCGUAGGCGGACAUUUAAGUCAGGGGUGAAAUCCCGGGGCUCAACCUCGGAAUUGCCUUUGAUACUGGGUGUCUUGAGUAUGAGAGAGGUGUGUGGAACUCCGAGUGUAGAGGUGAAAUUCGUAGAUAUUCGGAAGAACACCAGUGGCGAAGGCGACACACUGGCUCAUUACUGACGCUGAGGCUCGAAAGCGUGGGGAGCAAACAGGAUUAGAUACCCUUGUAGUA
This 449-nucleotide ribosomal RNA is filed under the name uncultured bacterium. RNAcentral's name for it is "bacterial SSU rRNA". It matches the Rfam family "Bacterial small subunit ribosomal RNA", at positions 329 to 795 of the family's 1533-position model. The record is from RNAcentral.